This is a long non-coding RNA of Bos taurus (domestic cattle), 1536 nucleotides long. NCBI's taxonomy places the organism in Eukaryota, Metazoa, Chordata, Mammalia, Artiodactyla, Bovidae. The record is from Ensembl.
GCUUAUAGCUCUGGGUUCAUCUUAGAUGAGACUGAAAGACAGAAGGCAAAGGAAGAAGCUCCAAAGAGUCUAGGGCUUGCUGGGCCCCGAAGUCAGGCCCCGGGGGAGGCUGAGGUGGCCGUGAUGGCGGCAGAGUGACUGCUGAAGGACAGGAGGUGCCACGGCCAAGAGAGUCUCUGGUGACAACAGCUGAGGCAGAGGGGUGACACGGACCUGCUCACUGCGACUGAAGAGCACUCUGGCUCUUAGUGACAUGAGGGAAUUACGCUUCUCUGGUUAUGAAAAAAGGUUCCCAUCAUCUUCCUCCUUCCUGCCCCACAGGAAGGGGACAGGGAAAGACCCACGCCGUGGAGGUGAGGAGUAAGAACCAGGACAGGAGACUUCUGAGUGAGCUGAUGCUGAUACUGAUCAAACAUGAAAAUGGGGGAAUUCCCUGGCGGUCCAGUGGAGUGGUUCCAGCUGAGCCUGAACUGGAAGGAUUCAGAGUCUGAGAUUAUCUGAUGAACUGGUACUAAUGGUAACCCACAGUUUCUACAUGAGGUCAGAGGAUCUUUGCUACUGUCCUCAAGCAUCACACUCCAAAUCCCACACAAGAAAACCCUUUGGAGCAACCAACCCCUCAGAGAUGAGAACCCCAGCAGAAACUCCAAGUUCCGCUGGUGUAUGGAGGGGUCUGCUGACGCACCUGUUGCCAAUGGAAGAGGGCGUCUCAGAGCAGCACAGCCCAGUCCAGGGUCGACCUCCAGGGCCAGCUCCUUGGACGCUCUCCUUCUCCUCCCUGCUACCGUCUGGAAGGUCCUGGGGCCUCAGCUCUCCAGCAGCAGUAGUGGGUGACCCUGCCCACUCAGGCUCAAGGAACUUUUCUUUUGACAGUGUGUGAGGAGCAGACGUACUUACACAGCACUUCUCCAACAGAGGCUCUCUGAGCCUAAAAAUAACAACUUCAGAAGCCAACGUGACGACCAUCUGGCUUCUUUUGAUGGGUCAGGCCCAAGGAAGUCAUAGAUAAGGGAACACACACCUUGCACGUGGACGGCAGGAAGGCAGCUGCCUCAGGUAAAAGGUAAAAUGUAGGCAGGCAGGGGUCUGAACUUGGAUGGGUGACAGUUAAAGAAAUUGACUCUGUCCUUUGAUUUCAGCCUGCGAGUCAAGUGGUGCUUUCACAUCGCCUUCCAUUUUAUUGAUCUUUUAGUCCUCAUCUACAUUUUUUUAAAUGAAAAAUCUUAUGACAAAAGCCAAAAGUCCAACAAACCCCUUAAAAAAAUAAUAAAAGGGCCUGGAUUGGAAAACCAGGAAAGCACUGAAUUAUAAAGUCUAAGCUAAUUUUUAAAUUUUUGUCUAAUAGGAGGAAAUAUAUUUGUUUAUUAACAGACACAAAAAUUCUCCUAUCUCUAAUAUGACCCUUCCACAUCUUGGGUUUUCCCAAUUUGAUUAAAUCACAAUCAGGACUGUCCUAUGGCUCCUGGGAACUGGUUCUGCCAACACUGGAGAGUCAGAAAUCCACUGUCUUGUUUCUGGACUUUACGCACACCUCUA